CCUACGGGAGGCAGCAGUGGGGAAUAUUGCACAAUGGGGGAAACCCUGAUGCAGCGACGCCGCGUGAGUGAAGAAGUAUUUCGGUAUGUAAAGCUCUAUCAGCAGGGAAGUAAAUGAGGGUACCUGAUUAAGAAGCCCCGGCUAACUACGUGCCAGGAGCCGUGGUAAUACGUAGGGGGCAAGCGUUAUACGGAUUUACUGGGUUUAAAGGGAGCGUAGACGGUGUUGUAAGUAAGAAGGGAAAGUCCGGGGCUAAACUCCGAGAUUGCUUUUGAAACUGUGUAACUGGAGUACAGGAGAGGUAAGCGGAAUUCGUGGUGUAGCGGUGAAAUGCGUAGAUAUCAGGAGGAACACCAGUGGCGAAGGCGGCUUACUGGACUGUAACUGACGUUGAGGCUCGAAAGCGUGGGGAGCAAACAGGAUUAGAUACCCGAGUAGUC
RNAcentral lists this ribosomal RNA (440 nucleotides) under uncultured bacterium. Its description in RNAcentral is "partial 16S ribosomal RNA". It matches the Rfam family "Bacterial small subunit ribosomal RNA", at positions 338 to 795 of the family's 1533-position model. The record is from RNAcentral.